Molecule: small RNA, 248 nt
Filed under: Arabidopsis thaliana (thale cress)
Lineage: Eukaryota; Viridiplantae; Streptophyta; Magnoliopsida; Brassicales; Brassicaceae
Description: ATSL013440
Source: RNAcentral
ACAUCUUCUGGGUUUCUUGACAGUUUUUAAAUUUGAAAGAGCUAAAUUUAUACUUAUAAAAUGGAAAAAACUCAUGGGCUUGUAACCAUUGGAAAUACUUUUAGAACUUUUUUUCAAAAAUAAAAUAAGAAAAUUGGCUUUGUAGAAGACAAGGCACUCAAUUAAUGGCGGCCCAUAUUUUUUAAAUAGCCCAAGAGCACACUAUGCCAUUUUCGUUUUAGGUUCCGUCCAAAAACUAACAAUAUUUU